GCAGUGGUGGUUCAGGGGUAGAAUUCUCACCUUCCACGUGGGAGACCUGGGUUCAAUUCCCAGUCAACGCA
Molecule: transfer RNA, 71 nt
Filed under: Loxodonta africana (African savanna elephant)
Lineage: Eukaryota; Metazoa; Chordata; Mammalia; Proboscidea; Elephantidae
Rfam family: tRNA
About the family: Transfer RNA (tRNA) molecules are approximately 80 nucleotides in length. Their secondary structure includes four short double-helical elements and three loops (D, anti-codon, and T loops). Further hydrogen bonds mediate the characteristic L-shaped molecular structure. tRNAs have two regions of fundamental functional importance: the anti-codon, which is responsible for specific mRNA codon recognition, and the 3' end, to which the tRNAs corresponding amino acid is attached (by aminoacyl-tRNA synthetases). tRNAs cope with the degeneracy of the genetic code in two manners: having more than one tRNA (with a specific anti-codon) for a particular amino acid; and 'wobble' base-pairing, i.e. permitting non-standard base-pairing at the 3rd anti-codon position.
Source: Rfam by way of RNAcentral